RNAcentral lists this ribosomal RNA (384 nucleotides) under uncultured bacterium. RNAcentral describes it as "bacterial SSU rRNA". It matches the Rfam family "Bacterial small subunit ribosomal RNA", at positions 30 to 414 of the family's 1533-position model. The record is from RNAcentral.
AUUGAACGCUGGCGGCAUGCCUUACACAUGCAAGUCGAACGGCAGCGGACCUUCGGGUGCCGGCGAGUGGCGAACGGGUGAGUAAUAUAUCGGAACGUACCUUUCAGUGGGGGAUAACGUAGCGAAAGUUACGCUAAUACCGCAUAUUCUGUGAGCAGGAAAGCAGGGGAUCGCAAGACCUUGCGCUGAUUGAGCGGCCGAUAUCAGAUUAGCUAGUUGGUGAGGUAAAGGCUCACCAAGGCGACGAUCUGUAGCGGGUCUGAGAGGAUGAUCCGCCACACUGGAACUGAGACACGGUCCAGACUCCUACGGGAGGCAGCAGUGGGGAAUCUUAGACAAUAGGGCGCAAGACCUGAUCUAGCCAUGCCGCGUGAGCGAUGAAGG